Molecule: long non-coding RNA, 387 nt
Filed under: Prunus dulcis (almond)
Lineage: Eukaryota; Viridiplantae; Streptophyta; Magnoliopsida; Rosales; Rosaceae
Description: sRNA ncRNA
Source: RNAcentral
AUGUUGGGGGCUUGGUCUUGUGAAGCCAUUUCUUGUAGUCUGCAAGAUGCAUCUAUGCAUGGGAGAUAACGAGCAAUGGCUAGUUCAUAAUAGCCGAGUAUACAACGACAUUAAUGAGAAUUUAAAGUGUUUUAAGAUAUUUAAGGAAAAUGUUGAAUCUUCCAAUAACAACGCAAACAAAUCAUACAAGUAUGAAGCGUCAAUCGAUUUGCAGAUCUUACGAAUGAAGAGUUCAAAGCAACAAGAAAUAGAUUCAAGGGGCAUGAAUGCUCGACAAAGACAACUUCUUUCAAAUAUGAAAAUGUUACGGAAGUGCCAGCUACAGUGGACUGGAGAAAACAAGGAGCUGUUACCCCAAUGAAGGACCAAGGCCAAUGUGGUAAUUAA